UACGUAGGUGACGAGCGUUAUCCGGAAUUACUGGGCGUAAAGCGCACGCAAGCGGUCUGACAAGUCCGACGUGAAAUCCCAAGCUUAACCUUGGAACUGCGCCGGAUACUGGAUGGCUUGAAUUCGGGAGAGGGAUGCAGAAUUCCAGGUGUAGCGGUGAAAUGCGUAGAUAUCUGGAGGAAUACCGGUGGCGAAGGCGGCAUCCUGGACCGACAUUGACGCUGAACGGCGAAAGCUAGGGGAGCAAACGGG
Molecule: ribosomal RNA, 252 nt
Filed under: uncultured bacterium
Lineage: Bacteria
Description: partial 16S ribosomal RNA
Rfam family: Bacterial small subunit ribosomal RNA
Source: RNAcentral